This 812-nucleotide unclassified non-coding RNA is filed under the name Hevea brasiliensis (rubber tree). Lineage: Eukaryota; Viridiplantae; Streptophyta; Magnoliopsida; Malpighiales; Euphorbiaceae. The record is from RNAcentral.
AAAUUCUCUGAAUUUCUGACUCCAAUAAUGGUUUAUCCAAAUUAAUUUUCAUUAAUAUGCCACCAUCUGAAAUUUUGUCUAAUUUAUUGACUAUUUUAUCAAUUAGUUCAUCAGUUUGGCAAUUGGUUAUUUUGGAGACAGCUUCAAAAAAACAAGCAUUCCUUCGGGUUUCAGCUUUCUUCCCUUCUUCUUCUUUUGUAUAACUUGCUUCACCAAGUGAGGAAUUACCUGGUUCACUUUUGCUCCCCUUCUUGAUCUCUUCUUCUUCCUUUCUUAAAACCCUAGUUUGGUGUAAGAUUGGUAAUUUGCCCUUCUUGUUUUCAAUAAGUUCAAUCAGUCCUGAUUCUUUCUUUUUUUCUUUUCUUAAUUCCUCCCUUUUGCCUACUCCAAUUCUGAGUGCAUUCUUUCCUCCCCCCUUGGGUUCGUGUAUGCUACUCAAACCUUCAUGCACAUGAACUGCAUGAACUUCAGAUUCCUCAGCCUUUGCGGAAUCAAUUGGAGGUUCGCAAUUAAUUGCAUUCACGCUCAACUCCAAUUCAUGUUGAUCUGGUUUUGGAUCAGUAGAGUUUUCUGGACUCAUUGAAUUCAGUUGGAUUAAAUUCGCAACUGAAAUACUUGACAUUGGCUUGGACAGCUCGUUAUUGUCAUUCAGAUGAAUGUCUAGGACCAGUGAAUCCACAUACACAGAGAAGCUUAUGUCCUCAAUGAACAAAUCAUCCAAAAUCAUCUUUUGAUAAAAAUCCUUGUUCAUUAACCAAUGAUCAAAUUUUCCCUCACCUCCUGUAAUGGCAUUCACUGCUGAACUCCAGGGA